CGCACUAGGCGGGGAGUUAGCGGUGCCCUGUACUCGCAAUCCGCUAUAGCGAGGCUGAAUUCCUGUGUGAGAUUUGCAUUUUGUAAAGGCGAGACGUCUGUAAGUGGUGUUGACGAAUGGGUCCUGUGCAAUGUAGGGCUGUGAACCCUGUCAGGUCCUGACGGAAGCAGCAGUAAGCGGUUUUCUAUGUGUGCCGCAGGUUUGCCUGUUCAGAGCUGGCUGCAGAAGAG
RNAcentral lists this signal recognition particle RNA (230 nucleotides) under human gut metagenome. RNAcentral's name for it is "Bacterial large signal recognition particle RNA". It matches the Rfam family "Bacterial large signal recognition particle RNA", at positions 2 to 225 of the family's 256-position model. From Rfam's summary of the family: The signal recognition particle (SRP) is a universally conserved ribonucleoprotein involved in the co-translational targeting of proteins to membranes. The record is from RNAcentral.